AGAGUUUGAUCCUGGCUCAGAUUGAACGCUGGCGGCAGGCCUAACACAUGCAAGUCGAGCGGUAGCACAGAGAGCUUGCUCUCGGGUGACGAGCGGCGGACGGGUGAGUAAUGUCUGGGAAACUGCCUGAUGGAGGGGGAUAACUACUGGAAACGGUAGCUAAUACCGCAUAACGUCGCAAGACCAAAGUGGGGGACCUUCGGGCCUCAUGCCAUCAGAUGUGCCCAGAUGGGAUUAGCUAGUAGGUGGGGUAACGGCUCACCUAGGCGACGAUCCCUAGCUGGUCUGAGAGGAUGACCAGCCACACUGGAACUGAGACACGGUCCAGACUCCUACGGGAGGCAGCAGUGGGGAAUAUUGCACAAUGGGCGCAAGCCUGAUGCAGCCAUGCCGCGUGUGUGAAGAAGGCCUUCGGGUUGUAAAGCACUUUCAGCGGGGAGGAAGGCGUUAAGGUUAAUAACCUUGGCGAUUGACGUUACCCGCAGAAGAAGCACCGGCUAACUCCGUGCCAGCAGCCGCGGUAAUACGGAGGGUGCAAGCGUUAAUCGGAAUUACUGGGCGUAAAGCGCACGCAGGCGGUCUGUCAAGUCGGAUGUGAAAUCCCCGGGCUCAACCUGGGAACUGCAUUCGAAACUGGCAGGCUAGAGUCUUGUAGAGGGGGGUAGAAUUCCAGGUGUAGCGGUGAAAUGCGUAGAGAUCUGGAGGAAUACCGGUGGCGAAGGCGGCCCCCUGGACAAAGACUGACGCUCAGGUGCGAAAGCGUGGGGAGCAAACAGGAUUAGAUACCCUGGUAGUCCACGCCGUAAACGAUGUCGAUUUGGAGGUUGUGCCCUUGAGGCGUGGCUUCCGGAGCUAACGCGUUAAAUCGACCGCCUGGGGAGUACGGCCGCAAGGUUAAAACUCAAAUGAAUUGACGGGGGCCCGCACAAGCGGUGGAGCAUGUGGUUUAAUUCGAUGCAACGCGAAGAACCUUACCUGGUCUUGACAUCCACAGAACUUUCCAGAGAUGGAUUGGUGCCUUCGGGAACUGUGAGACAGGUGCUGCAUGGCUGUCGUCAGCUCGUGUUGUGAAAUGUUGGGUUAAGUCCCGCAACGAGCGCAACCCUUAUCCUUUGUUGCCAGCGGUUCGGCCGGGAACUCAAAGGAGACUGCCAGUGAUAAACUGGAGGAAGGUGGGGAUGACGUCAAGUCAUCAUGGCCCUUACGACCAGGGCUACACACGUGCUACAAUGGCAUAUACAAAGAGAAGCGACCUCGCGAGAGCAAGCGGACCUCAUAAAGUAUGUCGUAGUCCGGAUUGGAGUCUGCAACUCGACUCCAUGAAGUCGGAAUCGCUAGUAAUCGUAGAUCAGAAUGCUACGGUGAAUACGUUCCCGGGCCUUGUACACACCGCCCGUCACACCAUGGGAGUGGGUUGCAAAAGAAGUAGGUAGCUUAACCUUCGGGAGGGCGCUUACCACUUUGUGAUUCAUGACUGGGGUGA
RNAcentral lists this ribosomal RNA (1483 nucleotides) under uncultured bacterium. RNAcentral describes it as "bacterial SSU rRNA". It matches the Rfam family "Bacterial small subunit ribosomal RNA". The record is from RNAcentral.